Molecule: transfer RNA, 72 nt
Organism: Ovis aries (sheep)
Lineage: Eukaryota; Metazoa; Chordata; Mammalia; Artiodactyla; Bovidae
Rfam family: tRNA
About the family: Transfer RNA (tRNA) molecules are approximately 80 nucleotides in length. Their secondary structure includes four short double-helical elements and three loops (D, anti-codon, and T loops).
Source: Rfam
UCCCUAGUGGCUCAGAGGGUAAAGCGUCUGCCUGCAAUGCAGGAGGCUGGGGUUUGAUCCCUGGGUGGGGAA